GGAAAACUUACCAGGUCCAGACAUAGUGAGGAUUGACAGAUUGAGAGCUCUUUCUUGAUUCUAUGGGAGGUGGUGCAUGACCGUUCUUAGUUGGUGGAGUGAUUUGUCUGGUUAAUUCCGUUAACGAACGAGACCCCCGCCUGCUAAAUAGGUCCGUGAAUGAAUUUCAUUGACGAGAUCUUCUUAGAGGGACUUUUGGUGACUAACCAAAGGAAGUUGGGGGCAAUAA
RNAcentral lists this ribosomal RNA (229 nucleotides) under uncultured eukaryote. RNAcentral's name for it is "partial small subunit ribosomal RNA". It matches the Rfam family "Eukaryotic small subunit ribosomal RNA", at positions 1208 to 1456 of the family's 1831-position model. The record is from RNAcentral.